GAUAAACGCUAGCGGCAGGCUUAACACAUGCAAGUCGAGGGGCAGCAUAGAUUGUAGCAAUACAAUUGGUGGCGACCGGCGCACGGGUGCGUAACGCGUAUGCAACCUACCCGUCACCGGGGGAUAAUCCGGAGAAAUCUGGUCUAAUACCCCAUAACAUCUGGAUCGGCAUCGGUUCAUGUUGAAAUUUUCGGAGGUGACGGAUGGGCAUGCGUAGCAUUAGCUUGUUGGUGAGGUAACGGCUCACCAAGGCGACGAUGCUUAGGGGGACUGAGAGGUUUUCCCCCCACACUGGUACUGAGACACGGACCAGACUCCUACGGGAGGCAGCAGUGAGGAAUAUUGGUCAAUGGGCGCAAGCCUGAACCAGCCAUGCCGCGUGCAGGAUGACGGCUCUAUGAGUUGUAAACUGCUUUUGUACGAGGGUAAAGUGGGUUACGUGUAACCUUUUGAAAGUAUCGUACGAAUAAGGAUCGGCUAACUCCGUGCCAGCAGCCGCGGUAA
This 504-nucleotide ribosomal RNA is filed under the name uncultured bacterium. Its description in RNAcentral is "partial 16S ribosomal RNA". It matches the Rfam family "Bacterial small subunit ribosomal RNA", at positions 28 to 523 of the family's 1533-position model. The record is from RNAcentral.